AUGUAUUCAAUGCCCAACGGGGAGCAAGAGCAAGCUCUGGAAGGCGAUGCGAGUGGCGGCGACAGUGGCGAGUGGACUUCCAAUGGUGAAGGGGAUGGAGGAAGCGACGACUCAAGUGAUGGAGAAGAAGUCGAGUCGCCCCCUCGCAGGGAGAGGCGAUCCAAGCUUGACCAAGAACGGCCGAGUGCCCGCGACAAGGUAACUGCUCAGGCUGGCCAGUCUUUGAAGCGUCCUCGGAUCUCUUCACCAACCCCGACUGAGAAGGCGCCCAAGCACCCCAAAGUUGCAGAGCCGAGGACUCGGAAGGCGUUGCCGAAGAUCAAGAUUGAUAUCCCCGUCGCCUCCGCCGUUGCCACUUCCGGGACCUCAGCUUACAGGGAUGAUGAUGAGGUGAUGGAGGAUGCGGUCACUUCUAAUCCGGCUCCCAACAUUAUCGACCUCCCUGAUGAUGAUGAAGAGCCCGAGAGGCCUUUGAUGAGGAAGAAUAGGCGAGCUCCUGUAAGUGAGGCGCUACAGUCGACGCCGAGGGCGGAACUAGUCGUUCAGGACACUGGCGACGUCAAUCGGGGUUCUGUUACCUUCGCCGUGCCACUGUCGAGUGCCUUGCCUUCUUCGUCGACUGCUCAGGCCCCUGUCGACCCACCUUCAGUUUUUGCGACCCAUCAUGUCCCAGAGGACGAGGUGAAUGCUGCUAGGGAAGCCAUACGCCAGGCGGGCAUUAUGAUGGAGAAGAUGAAGACGGUGCGGGACGCCAGCCAAGCCGCCUAUGAUGCCAGCUCGGCUCUCCAGAGCAACGUUCAGGUUAGUUGGUCGCCGCUUGUUUUGUUAGGAUAUGCUACCUGA
This 843-nucleotide ribosomal RNA is filed under the name Triticum aestivum (bread wheat). RNAcentral describes it as "partial small subunit ribosomal RNA". The record is from RNAcentral. Lineage: Eukaryota; Viridiplantae; Streptophyta; Magnoliopsida; Poales; Poaceae.